This 636-nucleotide long non-coding RNA is filed under the name Gallus gallus (chicken). Lineage: Eukaryota; Metazoa; Chordata; Aves; Galliformes; Phasianidae. The record is from RNAcentral.
ACUAUAUAUUAAAACCAUUGCGCUUGUACACACAUCCUCCCUUUGGGAUGCCCAGCUGACUUUUCCUAGCAUCCAGGCUACUUAUAUCUCUUGUAUAGUAAGACAGAAAAAUGUAAUUGAAUAUAUGCAGUAAAAGGAAGAAGACUUGACAACAGGAUAGAUGUACUGUGAGUCUCUUUAUCUACAGUCAUUAUACAAUUAUUAUGUAUUACUGCAAGAACUUUUAAAAAGUAAAUCAUAGUUUUAGACUUAAAGAAAUAGUUGUUUAAAACCUUCAAGGUCUUAAGUAAAAUUGUAGAAAAAUCUUGCUCUUGUUUUAGCCAGAAAACGUUCAAGAAAGUUGCUUUGUCAUGGCUGUCUAUUUUCCUGUUGCUUUAGGGCCAGAAGAAGGGUUUACACCUUUGUAAUUUAGAUUUUAUGUCAAAGUUUCUGAAAUAGUGCAUUGGAAUUGAGCCCACAGAAUGGUAUAUAUUUUGUGGAAACGGGACAGCUCGGAAACUAGAGAUCAAAGGAAGAUGUUCUUCCUUAUCUGAAAUAUGAACCUGCAAGUUAGGCUCACUGAGCUUUCUCCAUAGUGGGGAGAGGGAGGCUUCUCUAGAGCUGCCUGAAGCGUCACGCUCUGUGCUGCACUGUGCC